GGUAGAGAUACCUUAGUGCCUUCGGGAACUGUGAGACAGGUGCUGCAUGGCUGUCGUCAGCUCGUGUUGUGAAAUGUUGGGUUAAGUCCCGCAACGAGCGCAACCCUUAUCCUUUGUUGCCAGCGAGUAAUGUCGGGAACUCAAAGGAGACUGCCGGUGAUAAACCGGAGGAAGGUGGGGAUGACGUCAAGUCAUCAUGGCCCUUACGAGUAGGGCUACACACGUGCUACAAUGGCGUAUACAAAGAGAAGCGACCUCGCG
Molecule: ribosomal RNA, 261 nt
Filed under: Pectobacterium wasabiae
Lineage: Bacteria; Pseudomonadati; Pseudomonadota; Gammaproteobacteria; Enterobacterales; Pectobacteriaceae
Description: partial 16S ribosomal RNA
Rfam family: Bacterial small subunit ribosomal RNA
Source: RNAcentral